UACGGAGGGUGCAAGCGUUGUUCGGAAUCAUUGGGCGUAAAGCGCGCGCAGGCGGCUUGCCAAGUCUGAUGUGAAAUCCCGGGGCUCAACCUCGGACGUGCAUUGGAAACUGGUGAGCUUGAGUCCGAGAGGGGCCAGUGGAAUUCUUGGUGUAGGGGUGAAAUCCGUAGAGAUCAGGAGGAACACCGGUGGCGAAGGCGACUGGCUGGAUCGGCACUGACGCUGAGGCGCGAAAGCGUGGGGAGCAAACAGG
RNAcentral lists this unclassified non-coding RNA (253 nucleotides) under uncultured Bradymonadales bacterium. RNAcentral describes it as "contains 16S-23S intergenic spacer region". It matches the Rfam family "Bacterial small subunit ribosomal RNA", at positions 524 to 776 of the family's 1533-position model. Lineage: Bacteria; Deltaproteobacteria; Bradymonadales. The record is from RNAcentral.